AAUUUUCUAAGAGGAUCGAACUUUAUUAGUACACUUGUUACCCGUUACGUUACCUCCUGUAAUGUGUAUUUAAAAACAGCUUUUCUGCCCAUAAAUCAAGAUAAUGAUUGUGUCAGUCACCGAAGUACUUACUGGUAACCCCAACACUCCAGAGCAGGGCACAUGUGGGUAGGUCUCCUCGGGCAGGUGUACAGGAUCCUCAGGUCCAUCGGGAGGAGGUCCACAUCGUGAAAGACCAGGCAGUCCCAGUUGCCGAACCUCUGGGUCUCUAGGUAGCCGAUAUUGUACAACGCGCCUUUAUUGAAUUUGUGCUUAUCUGGUGAAACAUUUAACUAACAUGAACGCGCGCCAUUAUCCCUGCACGAGUGCCUGGACUCUCCCCCGUCUAAAACAGGGUACAGACGCAGCUGGUUCCUGGUUUUUCUCCUGGCUCCCCUGGCGUAUUACCUGGUCGUCGCAUGUAUUGACACCACACCUGUGACACAUACUAAUCAAAUGUCCGAGAUGGAACAAGAACAACAUUCGUUUAUGUCCGUGCCUGUAAGCUUCAAUUCGGUGUUUCUGUUGCGUCAAGAAAGUAA
Molecule: long non-coding RNA, 581 nt
Organism: Ostrinia nubilalis (European corn borer)
Lineage: Eukaryota; Metazoa; Arthropoda; Insecta; Lepidoptera; Crambidae
Exons: 3
Source: RefSeq, a predicted model, not a curated record